This 475-nucleotide ribosomal RNA is filed under the name uncultured bacterium. RNAcentral describes it as "bacterial SSU rRNA". It matches the Rfam family "Bacterial small subunit ribosomal RNA", at positions 29 to 524 of the family's 1533-position model. The record is from RNAcentral.
AACGAACGCUGGCGGCAUGCCUAAUACAUGCAAGUCGAACGAGACCUUCGGGUCUAGUGGCGCACGGGUGCGUAACGCGUGGGAAUCUGCCCUUGGGUUCGGAAUAACUUCGGGAAACUGAAGCUAAUACCGGAUGAUGACGAAAGUCCAAAGAUUUAUCGCCCAGGGAUGAGCCCGCGUAGGAUUAGCUAGUUGGUGGGGUAAAGGCUCACCAAGGCAACGAUCCUUAGCUGGUCUGAGAGGAUGAUCAGCCACACUGGGACUGAGACACGGCCCAGACUCCUACGGGAGGCAGCAGUAGGGAAUAUUGGACAAUGGGCGAAAGCCUGAUCCAGCAAUGCCGCGUGAGUGAAGAAGGCCUGCGGGUUGUAAAGCUCUUUUGGUCGGGAAGAAAGUGCUCUGCUUAAUACGCGGGGUAUUUGACGGUACCGGCAGAAUAAGCACCGGCUAACUACGUGCCAGCAGCCGCGGUAAU